This is a long non-coding RNA of Solea senegalensis (Senegalese sole), 1375 nucleotides long. RefSeq lists it as uncharacterized. Lineage: Eukaryota; Metazoa; Chordata; Actinopteri; Pleuronectiformes; Soleidae. The transcript is spliced from 4 exons. The record is from RefSeq and is a predicted model, not a curated record.
GAACCCUACCUGAGCCUGGUGGCAGCGGUGAGAGCGGGGAUCCUGAAAUCUGUAUGGGGAGACUGGCUCAGGAGGACUUACUGCACUUUGGGAGCAAAGAUCUCCAAGCCAGAGUAGCGCAUGGUGGGGGAGAGCCGCACUCUGGGAACCUCCCUGCCGGGGGCGCUGUUCUCUUCUGGCUCACUGUAGCCGUUUGGCCCCUCCGCCUUCAUCGGAGACACAGAGAAGAUGGACGACAUCCCUGCAACGUGCCAGAGUGUGUGCAGACCUGUUCACACUGGCCGUAGAGGUCGAUGAAGGGGUAACAGGGUGAGGGGAUGUCCUGUGCUGCCACACCCUGGUCCAUGCCAUUGACAAAGAGGUGGAGACAACUGUUGGCGUCCACCAGCAGACCCAACACCGUCCCCUCUGGACAAGUGUCCAGAUUAGGACCAUAGUUCUCACAAAUCUGAGCAGGAGAGCAGAACAGUUGUGAGAGGAAAAACUUCAGUGACACAAGAUUUUGUGCCUUUGAGUGUGUGUGUGUGUAUACACAUACCUUUAGUGAGUUGUGGAAGACAGAGUCUCUCUGCAGCAGCCAGGCAGAGCGUUUCAGACAGCACGCUGUGGAGGGGAAAUUGAGCCGGUCGGGGGAGUGACCUAUUACUCCCAACGACAGCGAUGACGUCCACAACGGAUUUAGACGGUCGAUCUGAAACUGGUAACCAAACAGAAGGUGGUGAUACACUGAUACUGAGAUGAAUUACUUUUCUUGAUCCUAAUAAUGCUUUUUUCUCUCUCCGUCCUUUUUAAAAGGAAGUCAAAGUGUGUCGUACCUGGAAGAGCUGCUGGCGAGCGAGCGGCUCCGCGGUGACCAGCAGGCCCUGGUUGUAGCUCGACACCCUGGCUGCCGUCAGGUUCUGGUUUGACAGCUGGAUAUUUUUGCCGUGGUUUUCCAGAAAAGCCAUGACGCUCUCUGACGUCAGUGACGGCUCCUUGACGCUCUCCAUGUCCUCCAUCAGUGAAGAGCUGACGAUGGACACAGCGGUUAUACGCCCGUACAGGUCCAACACUGCGUACACAUUCUGCAAGAAGCGAGAGAACAGUGUUGAACGGCAGCGGGGAGGACAGAGUACCGCGACUCAGCACGCAGAUGUGGAUCAUUUUAAAUAUGUGAGACUGUGUGUGUACCUUGGACACCGCAGUAGCAGCAGGUCCCAUGUCUUCUCCGUCAAUGAAGAUGUGCAUGGUGUCAUCGCUGCACCUCUUCACACCCACACGGUUCCCAACCUGGAAGCGCACAUCAAGUCUCAACAUCUACUGUUUGCGUUUCACUUGACUGAGACGAAACAUUCAACAGUUUGUAACAAAGGAAGAAUAAAAUAAUUGAACAAUA